AUGCUUGGCAGUUUUGAAGAAAAAGAUAAAUACAAUCCAGAGGACGAAAAGAGACUGAAAGUAGUUAACGGGGCUUUGGGAAUUGCAGAAAGUUGGAGCAGGAGGGGGAGCACUGGCUGGAUAGAAGUGCUCCUUCAGCUUAGGCCAUUAUGGGAAAUGGGGGCAGUGGCAGCUGGCGAUGAUGUUGGUCCUGGACACCUUGCUAUAGGAGAUGGUAGAGCAGUUGCCUGUGUAGGUGGGCCAAGGUGCUUUCAGUUUCUGGGCAGACAAGAAUUGGAAAGUCACCCCUUUGCAUUGCUGGGAACCAUGGCAGAAAAAUGAUGAAGUUAUUAGCUUUGAAGUAACAACUGGCUCUUUGCCUGUUGUUGAGUAUAUACAUUGAGAAAGUGCAAGUACAUAUUCCAUUCGCUAGAAGGGAAUGUGGGGGCUCUCCUGGCUCUGUGUGGGUUACUGUCUGGUUACUAGAAGGAGUGUCACUUACCUGAAGGUAUGAGUUUGAUAGACUUACUAUUGCUCACCAAUACUUCCAAAUCUCUUUCUUUUCCUGUUUACAUGGAAGAAUUUGUUGCCAGAAAUGAUGUGUGAGCGUUUAGGAGUUGGCAAGAAUUUUUCUCCAUGUUUUUUUCUCUCUCUCUCUUUAGAAAAUACUAUGGUGGUGAUAUCACAACCUGGUGGAACCUACAGUGGCCUGGGUCCCUGAAUGAUGGUAUGGAGCAGAGUCCCAGGCCCUACAGCAUUGAGUAUGGAGAUGAAUGAGAAAUAAAUUGGUUGUUUUAAGUGACUGAGAUUUUGGAAUUCAUGGUAGUUGCAACACAGUCUAAUUGAUCUCGAUGAGUGUUGCCAAAAUCAAAGGAGUGGAUGAGUUCUUUAAAUUUUAGCAGAAGGCCAAAGUUAGCAAACUAGGAAUUGGAGCCUGGAUGGGUCACUGGAUCUUUGUACAUGUGGCUGGAUCCAAGAAAAGGCCAAUUACAAAUGCUCAUACAUAGAACUAGGGAUGGGUGAGGCAAGAACAGCGCCAGUAAUGUCAGGGUAGGGGCGUCUGGGUGGCUCAGUGAGUUAAGCAUCUGCCUUGGGCUCAAGUCCUGAUCUUGGGGUCCUAGAAUUGAGCCCUACAUUGGACUCCCUGAUCAGUGGGGAGUCUGCUUCUUCCUCUCCUUCUGCUCCUCCCCCCAGCCCUUUCUCUCUCUCUCAAAUCAAUAAAUAAAAUCUUUUUAAAAAAUAGUGCAGGUUCAGUUGAUGGGACCUGAGAAUGUACCUGGGGCAGAUGCCAGUGCCACUUCUCACAUUUUGCUGCAAUACAAGUUAUAGAGGGCAGAUAGAUCUUUUUUUUUUUAAUUUUCUCAAAGAUUUUAUUUAUUCAUGAGAGACACACACACACACAGAGGCACAGACACAGGCAGAGGGAGAAGCAGGCUCCAUGCAGGGAGCCCAACGUGGGACUCGAUCCUGGGUCUCCAUAAUCACACCCUGGGCUGAAGGCAGUGCUAAACCGCUGAGCCACCUGGGCUGCCCUAGGGCAGAUCUUUGAACCAGAGAUCAAUUCCAGAACCUUCCCCAGACCUCAUGGACUGAAUUGUGUCCUCUCCUUUCCCCAAAUUCAUAUGUUGAAGUCCUAACCCCCAAUGUGACUGUAUUUGGAGAUAGGACCUUUAGGGAAUUAAUGUUAAAUGACAUCAUAAGGGUGGAGCCCUAAUCCAGUAAGACAGAUGUCCUUAGAAGAAGGGGAAGAGAGAUCAGAAAUCUCUUUCUGGGUGCAUACAGAGAAAAGCUGUGUGAGGAUGCAGUGAGAAGGGCAGCCAUCUGAAAGCCAGGAAGAGAGAUCUCCCCAGAAACCAACGCUUGUGGCACCUUGAUCUUGGGCUUCCAGCAUCCAGAAUGGUAAGAAAACAAAUUUCUGUUUCUUAACCACCCAGGCUGUGGUAUUUUGUAAGGUGGCCUGAGCUAUUACAGACCUGGACCUAGGACUUGUUACCUGAUGCCUUCUUCUCCGGGGGUUUCCUGGGGGGGAACUUUCUGUUUAGAGUCAGAUAUUUUGAGGUGGAGAGGAAAGAGAGGAGAGGGGAAUGAUGCAUGUAUGAACACCUCCUUGCCCUUCUAACAACAUGCUUUUUUCCAUGUAUUAUACUGGACUUCAAUUGUAGCCCUGGAAAAUAGGGAUAAUUAUCCUAGGUUUACUGAUUUUAUUCAUUUGCUCAGCAACAAUUUCGAAGCAUCUACUAUGUGUUGGGGUAUGAUGCUGAGUUUGGGGGUGCAGAGUUGAAGAGGCAACAGCUCCUGCUUUCAAGUGGCUGCAUGAAUUGAGGCCUCCAGGAUAAGCUCCAAGUUCAGUGAGAAGAGGCUAGUGAGGACUCGGUCCUGGAUUUUAGCUUUGUACCUGGGCUCUUGGAAAAGAGAAGCAAAGCAGAGAAUUCUCUGUAAGAGAUGCUGGUGGAGCCUUGCAUCCCAGGAAAGCCUGUCUCUUCUUUGUCCCCAGGAAGCUGAGGGUCAGCAUCACGCUUAGGCAGCUUGUCCAGUUAUAGGUGACCUGCAUCCCAGCCAGUCCCCACCUUCUUCGUUGCUGGCAGAACCUUUACUUUGUCUAGAUCUCUUGCACCCACGCACUUCAGGGAAAGCUGGCUUCUCCCAGUCCCGAGGGUGAAUCCUGUAGGCAGCCAGGCAAUCAACACACUUGAUCUAUUCUUCUUGCAAUUCUAACUAGUGAAAUAUGAUAGAGCCUGCAGGGAUUCUUGGAUUUCUCACCCUAAAAUGAACACAAAAGGGGGACAUUCUGGUUUUCUUGAGAGGUAUUACUGUGUGAGUGCAUGAUGCUGGGAGCUGCUGCAGCCACUUUAUGACCAUGAGGAGACAGGCCAAAGAACAAUUGCUAACAGUCUAAGCACGGCGGAGCAGAGGGAGGGAAAGAACUGGUUCUUAAUCUUGAUCAACUGAAAUAACGGGGCUUCUUGUUAGAUCAGAUAAUAAAAAUCAUCUCACUGUUUAAGCUCUCUUGGGUUGGGCAUCCUAUUACUUGCAGCCAACAGCUGCCCAACAUAUAUAGGCAGAAACAAUCAACCAGCAUAUGUGCACUGAGGUCCCCCGAUUCAGUGUGUGGCUUUGGGCAGGUCUUGUGACCUCUCUGGGCCCCAGUUUUCUCCUCUGUAAAAUCAGGGUCUUUCCAGAUCUACCUCUUCAAAUUACGCAUUGUGCUCAGCCCUGGGAUAUGUACCCUGGGUGGGGGGUUGCGGGGAGGUGCAAAGAAGGAUAAGAAGUGCUAAUUGGAAUCAGAGAGAAAGCCAUCUCUGAUGUGGCUGAUGGGGGGAAGAGGGAGGGGAGGGGGGUCUCUCUCUUCACUUACUGAAGGAAGGAAUAUGUGUGUGAGAGGACCCAUGGACUGCCUGCUAAGGAAGGUGCCUGGGUUACACAUCGUCCCUUCAGCCAUUCUGGGAUCCCUCAUCUAAUUUUGCUCUGAUCAGUGUCAGCCUGCCACAUGGUUUGCUCACAGCCCUUCAUGCCUGGCACCUCUCCCUUGGCUGGAGCAGCUCUUCCUGCAGGGGAGUGGGGUGGGGCAGAUCUUGCUGGAGUUUGCUAAAGUCAGAGAGGAGAGGGUAUGGGAGUCGGUGAUAGGCCCAGUGUACCGCCCAGUCUCGGAGCCACCUGAAUCAGAACUGCCGGGAUCCCUGGGGAAAGCAGAUGCAACUUCUACCCAACACCCGAUCGGCUCUGCUCUGGACCUUCUGUGCAUUACUGCUCCUUGUCAUCUUCACACUGAUGCUGGAAGCUGAGUGCUUCUAGUGGAACAAGAAAGCAAGGCUCAG
RNAcentral lists this long non-coding RNA (3794 nucleotides) under Canis lupus familiaris (dog). RNAcentral describes it as "lncRNA (ENSCAFG00040002965.1)". Lineage: Eukaryota; Metazoa; Chordata; Mammalia; Carnivora; Canidae. The record is from RNAcentral.